This 253-nucleotide ribosomal RNA is filed under the name uncultured bacterium. Its description in RNAcentral is "partial 16S ribosomal RNA". It matches the Rfam family "Bacterial small subunit ribosomal RNA", at positions 524 to 776 of the family's 1533-position model. The record is from RNAcentral.
UACGAAGGGAGCUAGCGUUGUUCGGAAUCACUGGGCGUAAAGCGCACGUAGGCGGAUUGCUAAGUCAGGGGUGAAAUCCCGGGGCUCAACCUCGGAACUGCCUUUGAUACUGGUGGUCUAGAGUCCGGAAGAGGUGGGUGGAAUUCCUAGUGUAGAGGUGAAAUUCAUAGAUAUUAGGAAGAACACCGGUGUCGAAGGCGGCCCACUGGUCCGGUACUGACGCUGAGGUGCGAAAGCGUGGGGAGCAAACAGG